Molecule: ribosomal RNA, 431 nt
Filed under: uncultured bacterium
Lineage: Bacteria
Description: bacterial SSU rRNA
Rfam family: Bacterial small subunit ribosomal RNA
Source: RNAcentral
GAAAGUAAGCCGGAGCAACGACGCGUGAGUGAAUGAAGGCCUUCGGGUCGUAAAGCUCUUUUGUCAGGGAAGAACAAGUAUCGGAGCAGGGAAUGGUCCCUGGACGGUACGAAUCCAGAAAUACACGCCGAAUUACUUGCCAGCAGCAGCGGUAAUAACUAGUUGGCGAGCAUUGUCGUUAAUUAUCGGGGGUAAAAAAGGGGCAGCCGGUUCCUUAACUAGUAUGGGAAAAAACCCGGCUCAACAACGGAGGGUCAUUGGAAGAAGGGGAAGUGGAGGACUGCAGGGGAGAACGCAAUUACACCAGUAGUAGGGAAAAAAUUAGAAAAGAUGAGGAACACCAGUGAUGAAGAAGGCUGUCAUGUGUGCAAGUAACGAUGAGGCGAGAAAAAGUGGGGAGGAACCAACAUUUUAUACCACCGUAGUACUCC